CUAUGCGCCUUGCCAGCCCGCUCAGGUGUGCCAGCAGCCGCGGUAAUACGUAGGGGCAAGCGUUAUCCGGAUUUACUGGGUGUAAAGGGAGCGUAGACGGCAGGGCAAGUCUGGAGUGAAAGGCAGGGGCCCAACCCCUGGACUGCUCUGGAAACUGUCCGGCUGGAGUGCAGGAGAGGUAAGUGGAAUUCCUAGUGUAGCGGUGAAAUGCGUAGAUAUUAGGAGGAACACCAGUGGCGAAGGCGGCUUACUGGACUGUAAAUGACGCUGAGGCUCGAAAGCGUGGGGAGCAAACAGG
Molecule: ribosomal RNA, 298 nt
Filed under: uncultured bacterium
Lineage: Bacteria
Description: partial 16S ribosomal RNA
Rfam family: Bacterial small subunit ribosomal RNA
Source: RNAcentral